This 2125-nucleotide long non-coding RNA is filed under the name Salvia miltiorrhiza (redroot sage). RNAcentral's name for it is "long non-coding RNA (SMIL_LNC007718)". Lineage: Eukaryota; Viridiplantae; Streptophyta; Magnoliopsida; Lamiales; Lamiaceae. The record is from RNAcentral.
UGUGAUGUUAAUUUUCAUCAUCAAAUAAUUUACAAUUAUUUAAUAACUAUAAUUAUCAUUACUUUGUACAUAGUUGAAAAUUUAGGUUUUUAAAUUCAUAAUUUUAUUGAGCAAUUGAUAUGGAUUAUUUGAUUUUAUUUUUAAAACAUAUUUUAGAUUUAUUUAUAUUUUAAUUCCAUUUAAUAAUUAUAUUUAUUUAUUUAAGCAUGUCGUUUAAUUUUGAAAUAAUCCUCAUUGGGCUUAUGUCCGGGGCUGUUUUCAUAUUAAGGGCGGGAGUGACUUUGCUUUUGAAGCAGAAUUGUUAGCUAUCAUUAUUGCCAUCAAUAUUGAUCUGAUCAUGAUCAUGAUUGGUUGCAUCUUUGGGUUGAAGCGGAUUCUAUGUAUGUGGUGCAACUUCUGGAAUCUCGUUCCAAGGAUGUUCCUUGGCGUUUUAUGGCUUAUUGGAUGCAUACUCUUCGGCUUCUUCAGGACUUUAAUUUGAUGGUUACCCAUAUUUAUAGAGAGGGUAAUAAGCCGGGUGAUAUUAUGGCUAAUGGGGAGAGGCAGGAAGGCUGGUGGCCUUUUGCCAUUGAGGAGAUUCGUCAUGCGGUUGCUCAGGAUAUGUCAACUCAUAGUCAUGUUAGAGUUGUUCAUUAAUUGUGGGUUGGUGUGUUUGAGUCCCGCGGCAUGUUCGAUUUUUUAGGCUAAGUUGGGUCUGAUGCCGGUUAGUCGUUUGUUGGAUGGUCGGUGUUUUUGUCUUUCUUUACGUUUCGUCUUUUGGUUUUUUCAUUGGUCUUUGUUAUGGGAGAAGAGAGCCGGGAUUUCUUUAGGGCGAUGGUUCGGCCGGAGCUCUAGAAGUUAUCUCAACUCAGCUUUCUUGCCCAUCUAUUUCGUUCUUUUCUUUGUAGGCGAGUACUCUUUUUCUUCCCUCUUUGGGAGAUUUGAAUGAGGCUCGGCCCUUAGUCUGCUCUCCUAUGCUGUCAAGGGUUGUCUAGGUUCCUUUUUCCCUUUUUUUUUUAAUAAAACCGUAUUUUAAUAAUAAUUUCGAUAUUCGUCGUGCAUCGCACUGAUGGGUGUACUAAUUUUGAUAAUAUAUUAAUAGGGGUAAAGUGAUUGGUAGAACAUGCAGCACAGCGUGACUGAUGAUGGCAUGGGUUCGAUUUAUGGCGAAACUACUCAAUGACAUAAGUUAAUUUAUAUUUAAAAAGUAUUAGUAUAUGACAUACUUUUAUUUAUAUAUUUAUUUUAAUUCUAAUACCUCAUAAAUUGUUAGUGAUAUUAUUAAUUUUAUAGAUUAUAUAAAAAUUAAAAUUUGAUUAUUUUUUAUUAAUUAUUUAAAAUUAAAAGAAAAUAAACAAAUCAAACAUUGAUAGUUGAUAUUUAAGAUGAUCGCAUAAAAUCAACUCAAUGACAAUAGUCACUUUAUGAAAUCAUCAAAUUUAUUCACUUUAGACGUAUAUGAUAUCAUUCAAGUUUUAUACCAAAUACAAACUAUACAAGUAAAAGGCUUAAUUUAUGAAAAACCAUUCAAAUUAAAAACUGAGUUGUAAAACAUUCAAAAAAAAAAAAAAAAAACUACAUGAGUAGUAAAAUCUAAAUUUCGAAUCUCUGUAAAUUUGGAAAAAGGUAUAACCUAGUUAAGGUAACUUUAUGGAUCUUCCCGCCAGAAAAAAAAAAAGAAAAAAAAUUAUGGAUGUUCCAAAUAAAGAUGAAGACAAUAAUGAAGGGCACCUUAUUGUUGCAAUUUUAAACUGGAACGACCUAUAAGGUGUCGACACGUAGAAAAUCCCAACACCUUAGACCAAUAAUUCAUCUUUUUCCCUUAAGAAAACCUGGAAAAAGCAAACUUUUAUGCUGGACAAGACAAAAUGGGCCCAUUGCUUUAGCAAGAUUGCAAAGUGCAAACUCUGGAUUUUGCACGUUCAAUUCGGCCUAAAUUAAAUAAAUAAAAUUGGCGCAACUUUGCAAGUAAUUUGCUGCUUUUAACCUUCUAAAUGGGUCCAUAAUUUCCUAUUUAAUAAGUCUAAAAGGUUAAUGAUAUGUAGAUUGCAUAAUUAUCUUUAAAAUGUUUUUUUCUCUUAUUAUUUUAUUUACUUUUCGGUUAAUAUAUACUAGUAUAAGUUUUUUUUUACUGACCUUUUUUUUU